Molecule: transfer RNA, 74 nt
Filed under: Lysobacteraceae bacterium
Lineage: Bacteria; Pseudomonadati; Pseudomonadota; Gammaproteobacteria; Lysobacterales; Lysobacteraceae
Description: tRNA-Ile
Rfam family: tRNA
About the family: Transfer RNA (tRNA) molecules are approximately 80 nucleotides in length.
Source: RNAcentral
GGGCCUGUAGCUCAAUGGUUAGAGCAGGGGGACUCAUCAUCCCUUGGUUCCAGGUUCGAGUCCUGGCGGGGCGA